RNAcentral lists this ribosomal RNA (465 nucleotides) under Vreelandella stevensii. RNAcentral describes it as "partial 16S ribosomal RNA". It matches the Rfam family "Bacterial small subunit ribosomal RNA", at positions 338 to 795 of the family's 1533-position model. Lineage: Bacteria; Pseudomonadati; Pseudomonadota; Gammaproteobacteria; Oceanospirillales; Halomonadaceae. The record is from RNAcentral.
CCUACGGGCGGCAGCAGUGGGGAAUAUUGGACAAUGGGGGGAACCCUGAUCCAGCCAUGCCGCGUGUGUGAAGAAUGCCCUCGGGUUGUAAAGCACUUUCAGUGAGGAAGAACGCCUGGUGGUUAAUACCCAUCAGGAAAGACAUCACUCACAGAAGAAGCACCGGCUAACUCCGUGCCAGCAGCCGCGGUAAUACGGAGGGUGCGAGCGUUAAUCGGAAUUACUGGGCGUAAAGCGCGCGUAGGUGGCUUGAUAAGCCGGUUGUGAAAGCCCCGGGCUCAACCUGGGAACGGCAUCCGGAACUGUCAAGCUAGAGUGCAGGAGAGGAAGGUAGAAUUCCCGGUGUAGCGGUGAAAUGCGUAGAGAUCGGGAGGAAUACCAGUGGCGAAGGCGGCCUUCUGGACUGACACUGACACUGAGGUGCGAAAGCGUGGGUAGCAAACAGGAUUAGAUACCCCAGUAGUC